RNAcentral lists this unclassified non-coding RNA (230 nucleotides) under Glomus sp. RNAcentral describes it as "partial contains 5.8S ribosomal RNA and internal transcribed spacer 2". The stretch from base 1 to 65 matches the Rfam family "5.8S ribosomal RNA", at positions 84 to 154 of the family's 154-position model. Lineage: Eukaryota; Fungi; Glomeromycota; Glomeromycetes; Glomerales; Glomeraceae. The record is from RNAcentral.
GUGAAUCAUCGAAUCUUUGAACGCAAAUUGCACUCUCCUCGGAGAGGAGGCCUGUUUGAGGGUCAGCCUAGAAAAAAUAGACAUCGUUGCUGUUUCGCGGUGACGGUCGGCGGAAAUUGGGGCAUCUUAAAUCCUUUUGGUUGUAAGCGACUUAAAAUGUGCUUUUUGGUUCCAUGAACGGGUCUAAGAUUUAUGUAUUUACACGUAAAAGGGAAUCGAUAUGUAUGAGA